UACGUUGGUGGCAAGCGUUGUCCGGAUUUACUGGGCGUAAAGGGCGUGCAGGCGGUUUGUUAAGUCUAGGGUGAAAGCUCCCGGCUCAACUGGGAGAGGUCCUUGGAUACUGGCAGACUUGAGGAGGGUAGAGGAGAGUGGAAUUCCCGGUGUAGUGGUGAUAUGCGUAGAUAUCGGGAGGAACACCAGUGGCGAAGGCGGCUCUCUGGGCCCUACCUGACGCUGAGACGCGAAAGCGUGGGGAGCGAACCGG
RNAcentral lists this ribosomal RNA (253 nucleotides) under uncultured bacterium. RNAcentral's name for it is "partial 16S ribosomal RNA". It matches the Rfam family "Bacterial small subunit ribosomal RNA", at positions 524 to 776 of the family's 1533-position model. The record is from RNAcentral.